Molecule: long non-coding RNA, 1608 nt
Filed under: Homo sapiens (human)
Lineage: Eukaryota; Metazoa; Chordata; Mammalia; Primates; Hominidae
Description: novel transcript
Source: RNAcentral
CCAGGCUUGGGAGCUGGGAAAAGGCCCCAGGAGCUAGGGCAUCCUGAUUGUUCUUUCAAAGAAAUCCCUCUUGUUCUUAGUCAACAUGCUGGAUACCAGCUAAAAAAUGCAAAAUGAUCUUCAGGCAGGGAUGGCACAGGACCCUUGCUGAGCUGUGAAGCCUGGCUGUGAGGAUUCCUGCAUGGAAACAUCAACAUGUUGCCAGAUUGGUAUACGACUCAACACCACACUGUUUGAUUGGAGUUGAGCUGAUCUUGUCUGAACCUAGCUGGGCCUGGUCCGGGGCGGCAAAUUAGAUUCAGACAUGCUGCUCCCAAACAGUGCCUUUGAAUCAAGACCCAGUCAUCGUAUUCGAAGAAAAAGGAAAUAUCCCUGACCAUGUUGGGACUUAACACUGCUUCACAGAGCUAAAACAUCCUUGGGCAUUACAUAUGAAACCAACAUACAAAGACUGUAAAAGUUGAAGAGAAGAAGGCAGAUAAGCUAGAGACUUUAGGACCCACAGAACAACGUGGUGGCAAGUUCCCUGGGCUUUCUUUUUGCCUCAUAUACCCCAGACCUGAAGCUGAAGAAGACAGCACCCUGGAAUGGUCACUGGAUAUAGAUGAAAACGACAAUAAUAACAAGUUGCUGUUUCUAGCCAAAGUGAUGGCAGCACAUGAUGGAUGCAGCAGGGAGGCUCGGCUGGGGCUGCACACUCCAUGGAGCCAGUAGAAGCCCCAUCCCUUCUGAGUUGGGGCAGGAGCUCCUAGGGUACUGCUGCAGCUGCCCAAACCACAGGCUGCAGACCCAAACUGCAGCUGUAGCCACCCAAACUGUGGCUGUGAAUCCGAGCUUCUCUGUGCUCUUGGGGGGAACCGGUAGUGGGCGGGAUCUGCCCUCCUGGGUGCCCAACCCACGGCUGCAGACCUGGGCCUCCCAUUCCACAGAGUAUACAGGAGCUGGGGACAAGUGGAAGCCCUGCCCCUUCCGAGUUUGCAGAGCAGAAGCUCCCCGAGUGCUGCUGCAGCAGCCCUCCCAGGAGCAAGGCCUGGGCAUCUCUGCAGCCUGUGUCCUCAGGGCCCAGGAAGGGUUUCCCAAUCCCUGUAGGCUCAGAGGUGUCUGCUCCUGUUGUCUGGCCUCUCUCCUUUCCCUGUGCCAGCUCCAGUCUUGGAGCAGGGUUGGCAAUGUGCGCCAGGGGCCAUGAAUGGCAGCAGGAGUCAGCUAGAUCCCUGGGUGGAAAACAAUAGUCCAGGGUAAGGCCUCACCUUCAGGCCAGGGAGAGGCUGAAGGCUGGGGGCUUGACUGCCAGUCCACAGACCAGAAUAGGGAGUUGUAGUGCCUCCUGCUGCCUGCCCGUUGUCACCUGUGGAUCAAUCUGUAUGCACUUCCUCCCCUCUGAGGUCCAUAAAAGCCCCAGGUUCAGCCAGAGCAGGGCAGAGGACAGAGGACAGAGAGAUGACAGGAUGACCAGCCUGCAGAGAGGAGCUACCCUCUCCAGGGCCUCCUCUCUGCUGAGAGCUGAACACUUGACAGGACGACCUGCCUACAGAGAGGAGCUACCCACUGCAGGUCUCCUCUGAGCUGUUCUAACACUAAAUAAAGCUCCUCUUCAUCUUCUUCACCCUU